GAAGGAGAAGAAGAAAAUGUGGCAUGUCCUUUAAUUCAAAAAAUGGCAGUUUAUUGCUGUGAGUCUAGAGAAGUCUCCAGUUUUCUUGCUGUGAAGGCAAUAAAUUAACGUUUUCCACACACCACCUAAGGCGUCUGUUGUAUGUGGUGUAGGGAACGUUCUCGAAAGCAUGUGUUCGCCUUCGGCCGGCGUUCUAGUUUAUCGUCAUGAACCUUCAAUUGCAGCUAUCCAGCCAGCUACUGUAGCUACCACGGACUCGCAGCGAUAGCAACGAGGCGACAACCUGUAACUAGUACUUUUUUUAAUUCGAAACUUUUCUACAUUUGAAACCUCGAUCAAAACAUGUCGCUAACACAAGUGGGUUAUGUUACCCACCCAACUUCCUUGGGGCAGAAUAAGACGGAAAUAGUAAAGGUGACUAGUCCAAAAACCUCCUGACGUGGAGGAUUCAGAAAGUGAUGCCAGUGCUGUAAUUGCCCUGCAAGACCAUCAAAUGGAACAGGUAGUUCACCGUCACCAUGAAGAACCCUAAGACAUUCAAAACCAAGACAUCUACCUUCAACCUCGAGCCAUCCACCACCACACAUGAGCUUCUACCAUUCCUCCAAAGAGAGUUGGCCCAUGUACGAAACAAGGUUCCAAUAUAAAGAGCUGAUGCUGCUUACUGAGAUAAGGGACACCGGCAGGCAUCAAGACCAUAGGGCAGCACAAGAAGAGGACAUCGACAUUGUACAGAUAAAAUAUCUGGCCGACUUCAUUGUCCUUGACCAGAAGAAAUUCCAAAUAUUGAAAGUUGGAUGGUUAACCCUCAAGGGAAAUAUCAAAGGGAUCGUGAAGAAGUAAUUGAAUAUUAUAUAUUUUGUACAGAAUGUAUUUUUUCUACCAGUAAUAUACAGUUGAGAAUCAGAAUGUGUCUUGAGAAACCACAAGGGGAUUCUGAGUGAUGUACGAAGUAUGGCCACGUCAAGCCUGAAAUAUGCACCUGACAAAUGCGGUGGCAGUGGCAGGAAACAGGACGGGAGGAACCAGGAUGGACAGGAAAUAUGAGAGACACAUAGCUAAAGUUCACAUAGUGGAAUAUUAUAUUUUAAUUUGUUUGGAACAUAAUUUAAGAAAAACGUUUAUUUUAAAUGUUAAAUGUAUUACUGUGGGCUGAAUAACCCAAUUGUAUGAAAUUGUCUGUAGUUUGAUUGAAAAACAGUCUAGUUUCACACUGCAUAAUAAAGGUUUCAAUCUAUGUUUUAAUAGCUCUA
Syngnathoides biaculeatus (alligator pipefish) is the source of this 1253-nucleotide long non-coding RNA. RefSeq lists it as uncharacterized. Lineage: Eukaryota; Metazoa; Chordata; Actinopteri; Syngnathiformes; Syngnathidae. The record is from RefSeq and is a predicted model, not a curated record. The transcript has 7 exons.